CGAAAGCCUGACGGAGCAAUACCGCGUGAGGGAGAAAGGCUUUUGGGUUGUAAACCUCUUUUCUCAAGGAAGAAAAAAAUGACGGUACUUGAGGAAUAAGCAUCGGCUAACUCCGUGCCAGCAGCCGCGGUAAUACGGAGGAUGCAAGCGUUAUUCGGAAUUAUUGGGCGUAAAGCGUCCGCAGGUGGUAUUUCAAGUCUGCUGUCAAAGACCGAAGCUUAACUUCGGAAAGGCAGUGGAAACUGAAAAACUAGAGUACGGUAGGGGUAGAGGGAAUUUCCAGUGUAGCGGUGAAAUGCGUAGAGAUUGGAAAGAACACCAGUGGCGAAGGCGCUCUACUGGGCCGUAACUGACACUCAGGGACGAAAGCUAGGGGAGCG
This 380-nucleotide ribosomal RNA is filed under the name uncultured cyanobacterium. RNAcentral's name for it is "bacterial SSU rRNA". It matches the Rfam family "Bacterial small subunit ribosomal RNA", at positions 376 to 770 of the family's 1533-position model. Lineage: Bacteria; Bacillati; Cyanobacteriota. The record is from RNAcentral.